GCCGAGAUGGCGGAACAGGCAGACGCGCUAGCUUCAGGAGCUAGUGGGGGCAACCCCGUGGGGGUUCAACUCCCCCUCUCGGCA
Molecule: transfer RNA, 84 nt
Filed under: bacterium
Lineage: Bacteria
Also listed under: 5 other names
Description: tRNA-Leu
Rfam family: tRNA
About the family: Transfer RNA (tRNA) molecules are approximately 80 nucleotides in length. Their secondary structure includes four short double-helical elements and three loops (D, anti-codon, and T loops). Further hydrogen bonds mediate the characteristic L-shaped molecular structure. tRNAs have two regions of fundamental functional importance: the anti-codon, which is responsible for specific mRNA codon recognition, and the 3' end, to which the tRNAs corresponding amino acid is attached (by aminoacyl-tRNA synthetases). tRNAs cope with the degeneracy of the genetic code in two manners: having more than one tRNA (with a specific anti-codon) for a particular amino acid; and 'wobble' base-pairing, i.e. permitting non-standard base-pairing at the 3rd anti-codon position.
Source: RNAcentral